CGCGACCCCAGGUCAGACGGGACUACCCGCUGAGUUUAAGCAUAUCAAUAAGCGGUGGAGAA
This 62-nucleotide ribosomal RNA is filed under the name Plantago lanceolata (narrow-leaved plantain). Its description in RNAcentral is "partial 26S ribosomal RNA". Lineage: Eukaryota; Viridiplantae; Streptophyta; Magnoliopsida; Lamiales; Plantaginaceae. The record is from RNAcentral.